GGACUACCCGGGUAUCUAAUCCUGUUUGCUCCCCACGCUUUCGUGUCUCAGCGUCAGUACUCGUCCAGUUGGCCGCCUUCGCCACCGGUGUUCCUCUCGAUAUCUACGAAUUUCACCUCUACACCGAGAAUUCCACCAACCUCUCCGGUACUCGAGCUAAGCAGUAUCGAGUGCACUUCCCGGGUUGAGCCCGGGGCUUUCACAUCCGACUUACCUAGCCGCCUACACACGCUUUACGCCCAGUAAUUCCGAACAACGUUUGCACCCUCUGUCUUACCGCGGCUGCUGGCAC
RNAcentral lists this ribosomal RNA (292 nucleotides) under uncultured bacterium. RNAcentral describes it as "partial 16S ribosomal RNA". The record is from RNAcentral.